GAGCCACCCUGAGAGCACUGUGGGAGCGGCUGAGCUGGAAUCCAGAACUAAGACUACGGAAUAGCAAUGUGGAGCUGCAGCAGCAGAGGUGGCCCUGCUUCAAGGCCCUGAUUGUCCCCGACUCUGCAGCGGAGCUUGAUGUUGGAAGUCAGCCCGCCCUUCACUCCCAGGCUGGGCUAAGGCUCUUGAGGCUGCCAGGAUUUCAGUAGAAAGCCUGGGGCCAGAUCCUUCGCAGAAGACUGAAGAAGACAGGACAGGGUGAAUUUGCAGUGCCGAGUCUCCAUUCCCUUCAGGACAAACCAGCCAUAGGCAGGAAUGCAUGCAGCAUGCCUAGCACAGUGCCUGACAGAGUGAUAAAUGUCCAUCCCCUCGCAUUCCACCACCUGGUCUUCUUCCUUUAGCAUGUGAGGUGGCCAGCAGGGUCACACAUUUACAGAGGAACUCUGCUAUCCAGGGAAAACCAUUUGGCAUGGGCUCCUGGAGUGUCUUGUAAUUCCUAGAAACCAGUGAUGAAGCUGUGCAUGAGAUCCAGGUACCAAGACACAUCCGGUACAUUCUGUGAAGAUGAGGAAUCUUGCAGGAAAAAAAGACUUGGUGGUCCAGGGCCUCUCUGUCUGGCAUCCCAGUUGGAAGAAGUGAGCCUGCACAUUGCUCCUUGGGUUCUCCAUGAAGAAGCUAUUCUGGCUAAGGAAGGGUCUCUGGGCUCUUGGGACUUCCUGAGACUGGGUAAUUUAUAAAGAAAGGAGUUUAUUUAGCUCAUGGUCUGCAGGCUGUACAAGGAGUGUGGUGCCAGGAUCUGCUUCUGAGGAGGGCCUCAGGAAGCUUACAGUCACGGCAGAAGGCAAAAGGGGAACAGACAUGUCACAAGAUGACAGGGAGCAAGAGACAGAGAAGGGGGAGGUCCCAACCUCUUUUAAACAACCAGAUCUCCUGUGAACCAACUGAGCGAGAGCUCACUCAUCACCAAUGGGAUAGUUUGACUCCUUCAAACAGAUCAUGUCCUGACUCCAGAGGAAGCUCCGCAGGCAGCCUUUCUGGCUGCUGGUGCCAUAAACCCUCGCAGGAGUGAAUUUAAUAUCUAUUCUGUUCCCAAGUGACCCUGAAGUUCCAUGGUACAUAAUAAAUUUUGUCAGUGUGGUGAGAAGUUCCCAACUGGGAGCAAGAACUAUAGACAGAAAGCUGCCUGCACAGGGUUCAUUAACGCCUCUGCUCAUCGUUGGGCUCUGUGCUAAUGGUCUGGACAAGAGGAAGGUCCUCAGGUGGGAGGUGAAGCAUCUGUGAACUUUGCAUUUCAUGUCUGUGGCCUUGAAAAGAGGCUCGUGCCUCUUCAGAAACCAUGGAGCCGGCAUGGACAUGAGCCGGUAGCUUCACGUCAGUAGCUUCUCCACACAUUUCUGUCAUCUCAAGAGCACCAAAGGACAAACAGCAAUGGUGUGUUGAAAUGCUGCCAGGAGACUGAGAAUCUGGGGGUGGGGGCACCCUAGCCCCAGAAAUUGGUGUGCAGGAACCAGCUCUUCAUCCCACACAGAGUCAUCAGUCAACACCUCUUAAAACCAUGCCCCUCAAGAUCAUUUUCUCUCCAAUUUUAGGACAGAAUGAAAAGUUGACUGAAAGUCAAGGUUCAGCUGAAAGGUCUGAUUCUCCCACACAUAUUUUACACAGAGUCCCAUGUGGGAGAGAAACAACCCAGCAGGACUGGACGGGUUGUGACCAUCGCUGCCUUCCACCUUCCCUUUCCGACUCGAGGACACCAAGUCAGAGGCUCAGCCGCCUGCCGAAGUCUCCCAGCUACUGAAAGAUGGCACGGGAGGUGGAGCCCUGAUGCCUCCAGGUCGCUACCCCCAACUCCUGCAGGACCCCCAACAAAGGCAGUGUUCUGUCCCCCAGGCACCCCACCCUACGCCAUCAGCCAUGGUCUCG
RNAcentral lists this long non-coding RNA (1920 nucleotides) under Homo sapiens (human). RNAcentral describes it as "HSALNT0162055". Lineage: Eukaryota; Metazoa; Chordata; Mammalia; Primates; Hominidae. The record is from RNAcentral.